AACGGCCUACCAAGGCGACGACGGGUAGCCGGCCUGAGAGGGUGUCCGGCCACACUGGGACUGAGAUACGGCCCAGACUCCUACGGGAGGCAGCAGUGGGGAAUAUUGCACAAUGGGCGCAAGCCUGAUGCAGCGACGCCGCGUGGGGGAUGACGGCCUUCGGGUUGUAAACCUCUUUCACCAUCGACGAAGGUUCGGGUUUUCUCGGAUUGACGGUAAAUGGAGAAGAAGCACCGGCCAACUACGUGCCAGCAGCCGCGGUAAUACGUAGGGUGCGAGCGUUGUCCGGAAUUACUGGGCGUAAAGAGCUCGUAGGUGGUUUGUCGCGUUGUUCGUGAAAUCUCACGGCUUAACUGUGAGCGUGCGGGCGAUACGGGCAGACUAGAGUACUGCAGGGGAGACUGGAAUUCCUGGUGUAGCGGUGGAAUGCGCAGAUAUCAGGAGGAACACCGGUGGCGAAGGCGGGUCUCUGGGCAGUAACUGACGCUGAGGAGCGAAAGCGUGGGGAGCGAACAGGAUUAGAUACCCUGGUAGUCCACGCCGUAAACGGUGGGUACUAGGUGUGGGUUUCCUUCCUUGGGAUCCGUGCCGUAGCUAACGCAUUAAGUACCCCGCCUGGGGAGUACGGCCGCAAGGCUAAAACUCAAAGGAAUUGACGGGGGCCCGCACAAGCGGCGGAGCAUGUGGAUUAAUUCGAUGCGACGCGAAGAACCUUACCUGGGUUUGACAUGCACAGGACUCGUCUAGAGAUAGGCGUUCCCUUGUGGCCUGUGUGCAGGUGGUGCAUGGCUGUCGUCAGCUCGUGUCGUGAGAUGUUGGGUUAAGUCCCGCAACGAGCGCAACCCUUGUCUCAUGUUGCCAGCACGUAAUGGUGGGGACUCGUGAGAGACUGCCGGGGUCAACUCGGAGGAAGGUGGGGAUGACGUCAAGUCAUCAUGCCCCUUAUGCCCAGGGCUUCACACAUGCUACAAUGGCCGGUACAAAGGGCUGCGAUGCCGCGAGGUUAAGCGAAUCCUUUAAAGCCGGUCUCAGUUCGGAUCGGGGUCUGCAACUCGACCCCGUGAAGUCGGAGUCGCUAGUAAUCGCAGAU
Molecule: ribosomal RNA, 1090 nt
Filed under: Mycobacterium sp. 9912
Lineage: Bacteria; Bacillati; Actinomycetota; Actinomycetes; Mycobacteriales; Mycobacteriaceae
Description: bacterial SSU rRNA
Rfam family: Bacterial small subunit ribosomal RNA
Source: RNAcentral